Molecule: small RNA, 16 nt
Filed under: Arabidopsis thaliana (thale cress)
Lineage: Eukaryota; Viridiplantae; Streptophyta; Magnoliopsida; Brassicales; Brassicaceae
Description: ATSL248150
Source: RNAcentral
UCUCUCUUGUCUUCUU